AGAGUUUGAUCAUGGCUCAGAACGUACGCUGGCGGCACGCCUAACACAUGCAAGUCGAACGAAGUAGCAAUACUUAGUGGCAGACGGGCGAGUAACAUGUAGGUAUCUGCCCUUUGGCCUGGAAUAACACGAGGAAACUUGUGCUAAUACCGGAUAAGUCUUUACGGAGAAAGCUUUAUGCACCAUUGGAUGAGCCUGCACUUGAUUAGUUUGUUGGUGGGGUAAUGGCCUACCAAGACCGUGAUCAAUAGCUGAUUUGAGAGGAUGAUCAGCCACAUUGGGACUGAGACACGGCCCAAACUCCUACGGGAGGCAGCAGUGGGGAAUCUUGCACAAUGGAGGAAACUCUGAUGCAGCGAUGCCGCGUGAGUGAAGAAGGCCUUUGGGUUGUAAAGCUCUUUCGUCGGGGAAGAAAAUGACUGUACCCGAAUAAGAAGGUCCGGCUAACUUCGUGCCAGCAGCCGCGGUAAUACGAAGGGACCUAGCGUAGUUCGGAAUUACUGGGCUUAAAGAGUUCGUAGGUGGUUGAAAAAGUUGGUGGUGAAAUCCCAGAGCUUAACUCUGGAACUGCCAUCAAAACUUUUCAGCUAGAGUAUGAUAGAGGAAAGCAGAAUUUCUAGUGUAGAGGUGAAAUUCGUAGAUAUUAGAAAGAAUACCAAUUGCGAAGGCAGCUUUCUGGAUCAUUACUGACACUGAGGAACGAAAGCAUGGGUAGCGAAGAGGAUUAGAUACCCUCGUAGUCCAUGCCGUAAACGAUGUGUGUUAGACGUUGGAAAUUUAUUUUCAGUGUCGCAGCGAAAGCGAUAAACACACCGCCUGGGGAGUACGACCGCAAGGUUAAAACUCAAAUGAAUUGAC
RNAcentral lists this ribosomal RNA (858 nucleotides) under uncultured Alphaproteobacteria bacterium. RNAcentral describes it as "bacterial SSU rRNA". It matches the Rfam family "Bacterial small subunit ribosomal RNA", at positions 8 to 914 of the family's 1533-position model. Lineage: Bacteria; Pseudomonadati; Pseudomonadota; Alphaproteobacteria. The record is from RNAcentral.